Molecule: ribosomal RNA, 348 nt
Filed under: uncultured bacterium
Lineage: Bacteria
Description: bacterial SSU rRNA
Rfam family: Bacterial small subunit ribosomal RNA
Source: RNAcentral
AUAACGCUUCGAAAGAGGUGCUAAUACCGAAUACGAAUCCUGCAGGCAUCUGCGGGAUGGAAAGUUUUUCGCAGGAUGAGCUCGCGGCCUAUCAGCUAGUUGGUGAGGUAAUGGCUCACCAAGGCGACGACGGGGUAGCCGGCCCUGAGAGGGUGACCGGCCACACUGGAACUGAGACACGGUCCAGACUCCUACGGGGAGGCAGCAGUGGGGAAUAUUGCACAAUGGACGAAAGUCUGAUGCAGCAACGCCGCGUGAGGGAUGAAGGCCUUCGGGUUGUAAACCUCUUUUAGCAGGGAAGAAGCGAAAGUGACGGUACCUGCAGAAAAAGCACCGGCUAACUACGUG